RNAcentral lists this ribosomal RNA (468 nucleotides) under uncultured bacterium. Its description in RNAcentral is "partial 16S ribosomal RNA". It matches the Rfam family "Bacterial small subunit ribosomal RNA", at positions 28 to 507 of the family's 1533-position model. The record is from RNAcentral.
GACGAACGCUGGCGGCGUGCUUAACACAUGCAAGUCGAACGGAAAGGCCCUGCUUUUGUGGGGUGCUCGAGUGGCGAACGGGUGAGUAACACGUGAGUAACCUGCCCUUGACUUUGGGAUAACUUCAGGAAACUGGGGCUAAUACCGGAUAGGAGCUCCUGCUGCAUGGUGGGGGUUGGAAAGUUUCGGCGGUUGGGGAUGGACUCGCGGCUUAUCAGCUUGUUGGUGGGGUAGUGGCUUACCAAGGCGUUGACGGGUAGCCGGCCUGAGAGGGUGACCGGCCACAUUGGGACUGAGAUACGGCCCAGACUCCUACGGGAGGCAGCAGUGGGGAAUAGUGCACAAUGGGCGGAAGCCUGAUGCAGCAACGCCGCGUGCGGGAUGACGGCCUUCGGGUUGUAAACCGCUUUCGCCUGUGACGAAGCGUGAGUGACGGUAAUGGGUAAAGAAGCACCGGCUAACUACGUG